GUCCCGGAUCGCCCCUCCGCGACCGUACCAUUAUUGAGAGGGAACUGAGAAAGGAAAGUACCAAAGCCCUCGUGGGGCUAGGGGGAGGCGGCAGGGCCGGCUCGCUCCGUCCCGUUUACAACCCCAGUUCUAAUUGUUUUGGGACGGGUAGAAUUGUGAGUUGUGAAAGCGAAAGAGGCGCCCUUUUUCCUAGUCAGAACUAUUGACUUGGGAAACGGGUUUCUUUCCUCUAAUGUCGGGAAUGGUGUGACCGGCCUCGCUCCGGCUCUUGAUGCAGAGCUUGAACCACUUGGGGGCGUUCCGAGUCUGAGGAGCGCGCGGGACGAAAGUCGUGACGAGCUCGGUACCGGAUCACCUCCAGGCUUGCUCGAACUGCCUUGUCCGGUAGAAGUCAAGCCCAUCGAGGUAGCACAUGCCUAUUAAUCCCAGCAUUCAGGGGGCAAAAUCAGGCAGACCUCUGAAUUCUUGGCCAACCUGGUGUACAUGGCCUGCUCUGUGCGUAGAACCUGGGAAGUCCUAAAGACAGAGACACAAACCCAGUUGCCACCCUCCAGAAGCGACAGUCGCAUAAUUGGUGUGGUGCAGACCUGUGGUUCCUACCAGUUAUUGGAAUUGAAUGUUCUAGGGUUGGAAGAUGUUCUGAAAAUAGGACACUUCGUCUAUAGGAAGGUAGGAUUAUCAAGAAAAGAUCCCGCAUGAGGUGCCUCCUGAACCAAGCUUUGAAGGAAAAUCAGGAUUUAGCUGACGAUAACCCUGAAACUCAAGAGAGGUGAACGUGUUGAUCAAGAUCACAUGGUCAAUUAGGAAUAGAAGCAGAGAUCCUGCCAACCUUUGAACUGAGUGAUGUUCGCUUGCCUGGCCUUGGUCUACACACUGAGAGAAGAGAACAACGGCUUCAGCAGAAUGUUUCUGGGAAGUCUCGUUUCUGGGCCUGUCUGCCCCUGAUCUAUUCCCUAUGGCCUCACAUGAAGUCCUGCAACCCCCUCAUCCACCCCAUG
Molecule: non-coding RNA, 998 nt
Organism: Myodes glareolus (Bank vole)
Lineage: Eukaryota; Metazoa; Chordata; Mammalia; Rodentia; Cricetidae
Source: RefSeq, a predicted model, not a curated record